This 490-nucleotide ribosomal RNA is filed under the name uncultured bacterium. RNAcentral's name for it is "partial 16S ribosomal RNA". It matches the Rfam family "Bacterial small subunit ribosomal RNA", at positions 30 to 507 of the family's 1533-position model. The record is from RNAcentral.
AUUGAACGCUGGCGGCAGGCCUAACACAUGCAAGUCGAACGGCAGCACAGAAAAACCUUGUUCUUUCCUGUGGCGUGUGGCGGGCGGGUGUGGUAUACAGCGGACUGUCUGUUUUCGUGGGGUAUCUCGUGGGAACACUUACGCUUAUACCGUAUCCUCCCUACACCUGAGAGCAGGGCCUUCUCGGCCCUUGCCCUCUUGAAUGCGCAGAUGGGAUUAGCUAGUAGGUGGGGUAAAGGCUCACCUAGGCGACGAUCCCUAGCUGGUCUGAGAGGAUGAUCAGCCACACUGGAACUGAGACACGGUCCAGACUCCUACGGGAGGCAGCAGUGGGGAAUAUUGGACAAUGGGCGCAAGCCUGAUGCAGCCAUACCGCGUGGAUGAAGAAGGCCUUCGGGUUGUAAAGCACUUUUGUUGGGAAAGAAAAGAAGAAAGUUAAUACCCCGGUGUACUGACGGUACCCAAAGAAGAAGCACCGGCUAACUUCGUG